Molecule: long non-coding RNA, 1188 nt
Filed under: Coffea arabica (coffee)
Lineage: Eukaryota; Viridiplantae; Streptophyta; Magnoliopsida; Gentianales; Rubiaceae
Description: long non-coding RNA (CARA_LNC001786)
Source: RNAcentral
GAUCCUGGUUAUAAUAUAUUCAAUUUUUCUAGCCUCUCUUUGCUGUUCCCUUAACUGCGGUGAUUAAUACAUCUAUACUAUAUUAAGAGCAUGAGUUUGAAUUAGCGAGUUUGGUGCAUUAGAUUUCAUGUACCGGUAAUGCCCUCAUUAUGUAAUUUAAUAACUAUACUAUACCAACAUGUUAGGUCACCAAAGCUUAAUUCUUUCUUCAGUAUUGUUGAGGCUAAAAUUGUACUUAGAAAUAUAGUCUUAAUUGAAAAAACUUUCUUAGUUUUCUUAAGGAAUAAAGUUUCAAUGGGCGAGAUUUUGAGAAUUUUAUGGCAAUGGUUUGGAAACUAAAGAAAAAUAGAAAAGGAAAUUUCUUAUUAAACUUAAUGCUAAAGAAAGAUCUUUUGGUGUAGUUCUUGAAAACUAUGAAUUGUCGGGAAUUUCCGGUGAACGUUUAGGAAAAGAGGUUUCUUACUUCGUAAAGCUUUUGGAAAGUAGAAAAAGGAGCUAAAGAAUAACAGAAAAGGGAAUUUCUUAUUAGACAUGAAUGCCAAAGAUCUUUUGGCGUAGUUCUUGAAAAUCGUUCUGGUUAACAUUUAGGCAAAGAAUUUUCAUAUUUCGUAACGUUUUUGGAAAUAAAAAUUCAUGGACCACAAAAUAGUGACAAGUAUAGCCAAAAGAUAAUGCAUACGCAGUUCAUUUUUCACUUUAUUUCUUUGCCUUUGAUUGGAUAUCUUAAGAAUUUAUCUUUGGAUAUCAUAAGAAAAUGUUGUAUGGAUUGGGACAAAAAAAUUUUCCAGCAUCAAAACUGGCAUAAAACUUUUUUUUUUUUUUUUGUAAUGCGUAGUUACAAAAAUUCAUAGCAUUAGCUUUGACCAAGAUAUUACAAAGUUUUCAAAACUACCUUCGAUCUGUAGUUAGGAAUAAGCUAAUGUUUUCAUAGAUUUAGCUUCUCUGGAUGCUGUUCAUUUGUCUUUUGCCUCAACCUUAGUUUUUGUGUUUUAUUAUUACUACUACUACAAUUAUUAUUAUUAUUAUUAUUAUUUAAGCAGGGGAGGGUUGAUUUUUGAGAAGCAUGGAGGAAAUGAGGGAUUUGACCCCAGGACCUCUAAUUUUGGGGUCUCAACCAUAAGUAUUAAACCAAAACCUCCUCACACCUGCGUCAGCCGUAGUUAAGAAAUAAUACACGGAAAAAAAAAA